CCUACGGGAGGCAGCAGUGGGGAAUAGUGGGCAAUGGGCGCAAGCCUGACCCAGCAACGCCGCGUGAAGGAAGAAGGCUUUCGGGUUGUAAACUUCUUUGAAGAGGGAAGAGAAGAAGACGGUACGUCUCGAAUAAGCCACGGCUAACUACGUGCCAGCAGCCGCGGUAAUACGGAGGUGGCAAGCGUUGUGCGGAUUUACGGGGCGUACCGGGCGUGCAGCCGGGAAGACAAGUCAGAUGUGAAAUCCCGCGGCUCACCCGCGGAACUGCAUUUGAAACUGUUUUUCUUGAGUACCGGAGAGGUCAUCGGAAUUCCUUGUGUAGCGGUGAAAUGCGUAGAUAUCAGGAAGAACACCAGUGGCGAAGGCGGCUGACUGGACGGCAACUGACGGUGAGGCGCGAAAGCGUGGGGAGCAAACAGGAUUAGAUACCCGAGUAGUC
Molecule: ribosomal RNA, 442 nt
Filed under: uncultured bacterium
Lineage: Bacteria
Description: partial 16S ribosomal RNA
Rfam family: Bacterial small subunit ribosomal RNA
Source: RNAcentral